UACAGAGGGUGCGAGCGUUAAUCGGAAUUACUGGGCGUAAAGCGUGUGUAGGCGGCCAUAUAAGUCGGAUGUGAAAGCCCUGGGCUCAACCCAGGAAGUGCACUCGAUACUGUAUGGCUUGAGUACUGGAGAGGUUGGUGGAAUUCUCGGUGUAGAGGUGAAAUUCGUAGAUAUCGAGAGGAACACCGGUGGCGAAGGCGGCCAACUGGACAGAUACUGACGCUGAGGCGCGAAAGCUAGGGUAGCAAACGGG
Molecule: ribosomal RNA, 253 nt
Filed under: uncultured bacterium
Lineage: Bacteria
Description: partial 16S ribosomal RNA
Rfam family: Bacterial small subunit ribosomal RNA
Source: RNAcentral